AGAAGAACAAGUGUGGUUUAAGGUCUGAAUUACUUUCUUUAUCAAUCUGUGUCGCAGUUUGUUUUUCUCCAUCUAAAGGAGGAAAUGGGAAUUCUCUUUUUCAACCCAGAGCCGUGCAGAGACCAGAGUCUGAAGAACUCAGUAUGCCUGACUCAGUGAGGAACCACAGGCCCGACUCGACCUUCUCCCACCUGAAGAUAGAUGGCGCUGAAGCAGCAGAUGAUGAUAUAGACUCAGGAUACUCAUCUGUCAGUCUUGAUGACAACCAAUCGUCAUGUCCACCUCGUGAAUCCACCUGCAGUACUCAGUCAAAUGACAAAAGAAUUAAUUUCCAAAACAAGUAAGUGUUUUCAACAAUGAAUCCUGACAGUCAUGUUUGUACACACACACACA
Labrus bergylta (ballan wrasse) is the source of this 393-nucleotide non-coding RNA. The record is from RefSeq and is a predicted model, not a curated record. NCBI's taxonomy places the organism in Eukaryota, Metazoa, Chordata, Actinopteri, Labriformes, Labridae.